AUGGUGCAAAUACAUUCCGUGCUUUUAACCCAACUCAAGCCGAAGAAACUUAUUCAAUGGUCACCGCUAACCGCUUUUGGUCCCAAAUCUUUGGGGUUUCUUUUUCCAAUAAAUGUUGGUUACAUUUCUUUACGUUAUUUGUACCAGUAACCGGUUUCUGGAUGAGUGCUAUUGGAGUAGUCGGUCUAGCCCUGAACCUACGUGCCUAUGACUUCGUUUCUCAGGAAAUUCGCGCAGCGGAAGAUCCUGAAUUUGAGACUUUUCUUUACGUUAUUUGUACCAGUAACCGGUUUCUGGAUGAGUGCUAUUGGAGUAGUCGGUCUAGCCCUGAACCUACGUGCCUAUGACUUCGUUUCUCAGGAAAUUCGCGCAGCGGAAGAUCCUGAAUUUUAGACUUUUUACACCAAAAAUAUUCUCUUAAACGAAGGUAUUCACGCUUGGAUGGCAGCUCAAGAGCGG
RNAcentral lists this long non-coding RNA (459 nucleotides) under Nicotiana benthamiana. Its description in RNAcentral is "long non-coding RNA (NBEN_LNC010417)". The record is from RNAcentral. Lineage: Eukaryota; Viridiplantae; Streptophyta; Magnoliopsida; Solanales; Solanaceae.